GGCUGUGUCCCCACCCAAAUCUCAUCUUGAAUUGUAGUUUUCACAAUCCCCGUGUGUUGCAGGAGGAAGCUGGUGGAAGAUAAUUGGAUCAUGGGGGCAGUUUCUCCCAUACUAUUCGCGUGGCUGUAAGGCUCAAGAGAUCUGAUGAUUUUAUAAGGGGAAAUCCCUUGCAUUUGAUCCUCAUUCUGUCUUGCCCGAUGCUGUGUAAGAAGCGCCUUUCACCUUUUGCCAUGAUUUUGAGGCCUCCCCAGCCAUGUGGAACUGCACCCGACUACCUUACUUCACUUCAUUACAUCCUUACAGCAACCUGGUGCUUAAAGUGCUAUCAUCACAAGAAUGAGGAAACAGUUGAGAAAAGCCAGUUGUGAUGGCUAUGGUCAUGCGUUAUACAACUGGCAGGCAUAAGCAGCGACUCUAGACCCUGAGUGCUUCUCCAUUGCAGCCUUGUCUGUUUUUUCAGAUAUUGGUACACGUGAAGACAGAAAGUGGUAAGUACUAAGGGUCCUCCAGCAAAAUGCUCAGGAAUCCAUGAGAAAGGAAGGGAGACUCCUCGUUUAAACGUCGUAUGAAUUGGAAUUAAAACACAGUCAAUGGUAUGCCAAAAUACUCUCAUGUCAGAAUGGCAAGAUCAAAGUAGCUGUAUCAAUCUGUGAUGUGUCUGCCAUCAUGGGUCAAGGAAAAAAUUUUGAUCCACUAGACAGGGAGAGAUAGUCCCUGGGAGAACAGAGUUGAGUGUGUAAUUGACAAGAAGUUUGGGGACUUGAUACAAAAUCCUAGCUGUGGUGAUUGGGCCUAAAUCUUAGCUCUCAUGGAGGAAUGGUUCUAAAUUUCACUUAAUGAAGUGAAAGCUGUUUGACAUUUUCUGGUUAGCCAGGACUGUACCUCUUUGUAUUUUUUCAAUGCUUUUACCUCUGGCUUAGAAUGCCCUUCCUCUUUCGGGCAGUUAAUGGGUAACUAUUACACAUUUAUUUAUAUAUUAAUUUUGCCCAUCCA
RNAcentral lists this long non-coding RNA (993 nucleotides) under Callithrix jacchus (white-tufted-ear marmoset). RNAcentral's name for it is "lncRNA (ENSCJAG00000080749.1)". Lineage: Eukaryota; Metazoa; Chordata; Mammalia; Primates; Cebidae. The record is from RNAcentral.